UGGUAUGGUGCCAGGAGUUCCCAAUAAUUGUUGACAGACAACAAAGUGAGAGCAAAGAAAGAGCAGAGGUUAAAACUGAGGCAGAGGGUGCGAGGAGAAACACAAAAGUUCCAGAGGAGAGGAGUCCUCCGGACAGGAAGAGAGUGGCCCCAAGGCAGAGCAGGGCCUCACGAUUUCAGCAGGAAGAAUUGGUGACAGUGCCAAACACUGCCUGGGGUCCAGGAAGGGCUCAAGGCCCAGAAGAUUCCUGCUGUGCUGGAAGAGGGCAGGGCUGUUCCAAGGGUUGGGGCCUCAGAAAAGACCUCUCUGAAGAAGUGACAUGGGACCUGAAAGAAGAGAUGUGGGCAGCAUUCCAGCGCCUGCCCAGGCCCCGCGUUCACUCAGGGACUGUGCUCCUCGGAGAAGAUGGCGCCGGAAGGCUGGCUCUUCAGGAGACAAGACGUGUGACCAUUAACCACCAUGCAAGUCCUGGGCAUUUUGAAACAUGCUGUUUCUUCAUUCUCGGAUACCCAGCAAAGGAGCUCCUUCAAAUAAUUAACCAAGUAGUUAUAAUAGUAAUGCUCACCAUUUGUUACGCUUGUGCUAAGUACAUUGCCAUUUAUCAUCUUAUUUUAUC
Molecule: long non-coding RNA, 616 nt
Organism: Manis javanica (Malayan pangolin)
Lineage: Eukaryota; Metazoa; Chordata; Mammalia; Pholidota; Manidae
Source: RefSeq, a predicted model, not a curated record